AUAUCUCAAUUCUCAAUAUCUGUGAUACCACUGAAUUAAAAUAUUUGUUAUAAUCGAGAAAUCUUAGUUGCAAAAUUAUUUGAUUAAUUGUUUAUAGUGAUUUUGUAUCACGUGGAGAACGCACGGUACUAUCUUGCAUCGUGGCGGAACGCGUAAACCGAAAAAUAACAUAACAUUCUUCUUUAAUUCUUUUUCAUUGUCUCACAUUUUUCGUAAACUUCUCGUACAAAUUGUUCAAAACCAAUGGCGUCUAAUAAAAGACAGCGACAGCCAGAAGGAGUACAGAAGAUAACAGCAUUUUUAACAAAAAAAACCAAGUCUAGUACUGAACAACCUGAUCCAGGGUCAAGUAUUUUAAAUACUAAAACAAAUGAAGUUACAGAAUCUGAUGUUCAAUCCAAUGUCAAUGAAUGUAUGUUUUUUACUAAUUUAAUUGGUUUAUUUUGUGUAUAUUAUUUAGUGAAAUCAAUGUUUGCAAUUGUAAUGCUUUUGUGAUUUUGUUGAGUGUUUUUAUAUCUCAUGAUUAGUUCCUAUGUAUUUUAGAUAGAAAUGUUAUGCUAAGUAAUGUUAUUAAUUUGUUAAUUAUUUGUUAGGUACAUAUAAAUAUUUUUCUUUUUUAUAUUUUAUCUACAUAAACUGCAAUAAUAUAUGUUAUUUUGUUUUAACUAAUUAAUUAAACAAUAAUAUUAUACUAUACUAUAGUAGGUACAUUUUAUUAUUUUAAUCAAUAAGUAACUACUAUAAUAUUUUAUAUUAUCCAUGCUUACAUCUACAUGUGAAAACCAAUCCUUGUUUAACAAUGUCUGUUGUAUUAAAUGAUCAAGAUCCUGCAUUGAAUGUUAAUGCAUACCAUCUGAUUAGUAAUAACUUUGGCCCAUACCAACCAAAAGACAUUCAGUUUCCACGGGUAAACGGUAGGUCAUUCAGACAGGAUUGGUAUGUUCUACAUGAGUGGCUAGAGUACAGCC
This is a long non-coding RNA of Aphis gossypii (cotton aphid), 968 nucleotides long. RefSeq lists it as uncharacterized. Lineage: Eukaryota; Metazoa; Arthropoda; Insecta; Hemiptera; Aphididae. The record is from RefSeq and is a predicted model, not a curated record. The transcript has 3 exons.